CGGUAGCUAAUACCGCAUAACGUCGCAAGACCAAAGAGGGGGACCUUAGGGCCUCUUGCCAUCGGAUGUGCCCAGAUGGGAUUAGCUAGUAGGUGGGGUAACGGCUCACCUAGGCGACGAUCCCUAGCUGGUCUGAGAGGAUGACCAGCCACACUGGAACUGAGACACGGUCCAGACUCCUACGGGAGGCAGCAGUGGGGAAUAUUGCACAAUGGGCGCAAGCCUGAUGCAGCCAUGCCGCGUGUAUGAAGAAGGCCUUCGGGUUGUAAAGUACUUUCAGCGGGGAGGAAGGGAGUAAAGUUAAUACCUUUGCUCAUUGACGUUACCCGCAGAAGAAGCACCGGCUAACUCCGUGCCAGCAGCCGCGGUAAUACGGAGGGUGCAAGCGUUAAUCGGAAUUACUGGGCGUAAAGCGCACGCAGGCGGUUUGUUAAGUCAGAUGUGAAAUCCCCGGGCUCAACCUGGGAACUGCAUCUGAUACUGGCAAGCUUGAGUCUCGUAGAGGGGGGUAGAAUUCCAGGUGUAGCGGUGAAAUGCGUAGAGAUCUGGGAGGAAUACCGGUGGCGAAGGCGG
Molecule: ribosomal RNA, 573 nt
Filed under: bacterium
Lineage: Bacteria
Description: bacterial SSU rRNA
Rfam family: Bacterial small subunit ribosomal RNA
Source: RNAcentral